CCUACGGGAGGCAGCAGUGGGGAAUUUUUCACAAUGGGGGAAACCCUGAUGGAGCGACGCCGCGUGGAGGAUGAAGGUCUUCGGAUUGUAAACUCCUGUCAUGCGGGAACAAGAAAGUGAUAGUACCGCAAGAGGAAGAGACGGCUAACUCUGUGCCAGCAGCCGCGGUAAUACAGAGGUCUCAAGCGUUGUUCGGAUUCAUUGGGCGUAAAGGGUGCGCAGGCGGUGUGGAUAGUUGAGUGUGAAAUCCUGGGGCUUAACCUCAGAACUGCACUCAAUACUCCCAUGCUAGAGGAAUGUAGAGGAGAGUGGAAUUCACGGUGUAGCAGUGAAAUGCGUAGAUAUCGUGAGGAAGACCAGUUGCGAAGGCGACUCUCUGGGCAUUUCCUGACGCUCAUGCGCGAAGGCCAGGGGAGCAAACGGGCUUAGAUACCCCUGUAGUC
RNAcentral lists this ribosomal RNA (443 nucleotides) under uncultured Spartobacteria bacterium. RNAcentral's name for it is "bacterial SSU rRNA". It matches the Rfam family "Bacterial small subunit ribosomal RNA", at positions 338 to 795 of the family's 1533-position model. The record is from RNAcentral. Lineage: Bacteria; Pseudomonadati; Verrucomicrobiota; Spartobacteria.